GGAGAAGUACUCAAGUGGCCGAAGAGGCGCCCCUGCUAAGGGCGUAGGCCGGGAAACCGGCGCCGGGGUUCAAAUCCCCGCUUCUCCGCCA
RNAcentral lists this transfer RNA (91 nucleotides) under Oscillospiraceae bacterium. RNAcentral's name for it is "tRNA-Ser". It matches the Rfam family "tRNA". From Rfam's summary of the family: Transfer RNA (tRNA) molecules are approximately 80 nucleotides in length. Their secondary structure includes four short double-helical elements and three loops (D, anti-codon, and T loops). Further hydrogen bonds mediate the characteristic L-shaped molecular structure. tRNAs have two regions of fundamental functional importance: the anti-codon, which is responsible for specific mRNA codon recognition, and the 3' end, to which the tRNAs corresponding amino acid is attached (by aminoacyl-tRNA synthetases). tRNAs cope with the degeneracy of the genetic code in two manners: having more than one tRNA (with a specific anti-codon) for a particular amino acid; and 'wobble' base-pairing, i.e. permitting non-standard base-pairing at the 3rd anti-codon position. The record is from RNAcentral. Lineage: Bacteria; Bacillati; Bacillota; Clostridia; Eubacteriales; Oscillospiraceae.